GGACAUUGGACAAUGGACUUAGAGACUCAUUAGGAUCCUUUGCAAAAAGACCUUGGACAAGUGUGACCUAACAUGGAAGAAGCGCGCAAGUAUCAAGAAGAAUUUGUAAUAUCAAUUGUAAUCUUUUUGCAUGCUCUCCAAUUUAGAACACAAUUGCACACAUAUGACUUUCUCUUGGGCUACCUGACAAUGAGACCUUUUAUUUCCGCACUCCAUUGUACUUUACAUGUACCCCCUCCCCUUUCCGAUGUACGCAUUUACUUGCUUUCUUUUAUUGCUUCAUAGCUACUCCUUAGGCAUUAGGAACACACAUCAUUCAAAAUCAAUAAUCAAACCCUUGAUCCAACGUCAAGCGGUCUCCUUUUCAAAUCAAUUUCAAUAAACAAAACCUUGAUCCAACGUCAAGCGGUCUUUUUCCAAAUCAAAUUCAAAAACACCAUAAAUGGCGAUUAGGAUCGUACGUCACGAGCCUUAAACGAUAAAGAAGGGAUGAGACUGGAGCUUUCCUACACUCAUUCUGAAUGCUUCGAACACAAGACGUUUGGCUUGACCGAUUGAGGUAUUCACCUUUAUCCAUAGUCUUUAGUGCAAUCUGAAAUCAAUAACACUUUUCUAAAAACUUAAAAACAACUCAACACAUUCAAACCUUUUGUUUGAGCCUUAGGGCGACACCAAUCGAAAACCCUUCUUCAAGGUAAUAAAAU
This 704-nucleotide long non-coding RNA is filed under the name Lathyrus oleraceus (garden pea). Its description in RNAcentral is "Pisum sativum (pea) long non-coding RNA (PSAT_LNC040160)". The record is from RNAcentral. Lineage: Eukaryota; Viridiplantae; Streptophyta; Magnoliopsida; Fabales; Fabaceae.